This 30-nucleotide non-coding RNA is filed under the name Mus musculus (house mouse). The record is from RNAcentral. Lineage: Eukaryota; Metazoa; Chordata; Mammalia; Rodentia; Muridae.
UAGAACUUAAGAUGAUGUUUUAGUUGUAGC